UGAGUGUUUGAACUAUUCAAGUGGUAAUAUAGAGCUUUGAUUGGUUGUGCAUCUAGACAUAGAAAACAAAGAAAGUGUUUCACACACACAGGUGGCGAAGUUUGAGAUUUCCUACCGGAAGGUCGAAAACGUAUAUAUCUAAUAAAAUUAUAAAACCGGGGGUCGAAAACGUAUAUACCUAAAAAAUUCUAUACGAAAACUACACACCGGACACUAGUGAGCGAAAAGUUCGGAGGGUCGGGCGCCCCCCCCCCCCCGGCCCCUACAAAGUUGCGCACGUGCGCACACACACAUGUAUAUGGCAAGGAAGUUCUGAUACAAAGUGAGUUUUACCUAAGAAUGUAGAAAGUAAGGUGAGUGCGUCACGUGCAUUUAACUUUUAUAAAAAAAAUAUUAUUUUAAAUAAUAAAAACAUAUUCUGAUAUUAUACUCAUACUAACGAGAAUAAAGUUUGAAUAGAGGGUUGUAGUAAAUAAAAAAUUACAUGGAUUAAAACUGAUUUUUUUCUUCAAAGUACAUGGACAAAAGCCGUAAUUAAUUAUCAAGUUUAAAACUUUAAAUAUAUUGUGACUUCACGUUUUCGGUGUACAAAUAAAUUAUAUGUUCAUAUGUUAUAUUCCAAGAAAGGCUUUAAGAGUGUUAAACAGCGAAAUGAUCAUCUUGAUAGUUGAGGGCUGAAACUGUCAAACCGAAACUUAAGAGACUAAAAUUGCUCAUGCGCCAAACUACUGUACGGCCAUACAUGAUGAGUAGGUUGUGUAUUACCAGGGAUGACUAUGACUUUGUCACAACAAUGCCACAAAUCUCAACUAGAAACCCACUCUAUUAAGCAAUAAAUUGGAAAAGUCUCCAUAAUGAACUCACAUGUUGGGAUAUAACUAGUCUGAUGAUGAUCAGGGGCGGAUCUAGUAUAUCCUGAGGGGUAGCCUGUGCUACCCUUUAACUUUCUUCUUCCUUUUAAGAGUAAUUUUUUUUAUUUCUCCUUCCUUUUUUGUAUCGGCUACCCUAAAACAAAACUUUUUAAACCCACGCUACCUCUCAUCUUCUUUUCUAGAUCCGCCUCAAAUUUGAGUGAUUGAAUUAUAUAUUUCUAAACUUUAGCAACUCUAGUAGAAAUUUUUAACUUUGUCACAAAAGGGUUGUUUUGUUUUAUUAUUUCCAUUACGAAGAGAACCUGCAGAAAAUAAAGAAAGCAAGUUUCAAAUUGAUUCGUGAGGCUUGGGUUUUCGGAGCUGCAUUCAUGUCCGCAAGACGUGCGGGCCCGCACGUGUUCAACUAAAUUCCAGUUACGAAACUCAAAUUUUUGCACCCUUUGCGCGCACGGGAGUUCACACUAUCAUAGUCUUACUAGUAGAGACAAAGCAAAAAAGAAAGCGGCAACCAAAAAAAGGGGGCGUCGACAAAAAAUGAAUCUCCUGGUGAAUCGAAGGUGGAUAAGUUGAUGAGCAAGCUCACCGAAUUUAACAAAAUACAAGCGGCGAGACUUAAGUUGAAAGAAAAAGAAAUGCAAGAAGCGGCCGAUCGUGAACACUUUAAGCUAAUGGCGACAAGCAUCGACUCGCUCCUGGAAAAAGAUAAAAAAGUGUAGCAAAAAAUGAAGACGAAAAUUGCUCAAAAAUGGGGUCUAUAAAUUAUGUCGUUAUUGUUUUAUAUUUUCUAAUUUUAGUCUUUAGUUUUUGUAGUUAUCGUUUUUUUAUAUUUUCUAGUUGUAAUGAAUUUGAUUCAUUUUUAUCAUUUAUGGAUUAAAUUACUUUUGUAUCUCUCAUGUAAUUUGGGCUAA
This 1780-nucleotide long non-coding RNA is filed under the name Helianthus annuus (common sunflower). Its description in RNAcentral is "hypothetical non coding rna". The record is from RNAcentral. Lineage: Eukaryota; Viridiplantae; Streptophyta; Magnoliopsida; Asterales; Asteraceae.